This 88-nucleotide transfer RNA is filed under the name Acidaminobacter hydrogenoformans DSM 2784. RNAcentral's name for it is "tRNA_Leu_CAG". It matches the Rfam family "tRNA". Rfam says of the family: Transfer RNA (tRNA) molecules are approximately 80 nucleotides in length. Their secondary structure includes four short double-helical elements and three loops (D, anti-codon, and T loops). Further hydrogen bonds mediate the characteristic L-shaped molecular structure. tRNAs have two regions of fundamental functional importance: the anti-codon, which is responsible for specific mRNA codon recognition, and the 3' end, to which the tRNAs corresponding amino acid is attached (by aminoacyl-tRNA synthetases). tRNAs cope with the degeneracy of the genetic code in two manners: having more than one tRNA (with a specific anti-codon) for a particular amino acid; and 'wobble' base-pairing, i.e. permitting non-standard base-pairing at the 3rd anti-codon position. Lineage: Bacteria; Bacillati; Bacillota; Clostridia; Peptostreptococcales; Acidaminobacteraceae. RNAcentral also lists the same sequence under 1 other name. The record is from RNAcentral.
GCGAGGGUGGCGGAAUUGGCAGACGCGUAAGAUUCAGGCUCUUAUGGGCGCUAAGCCUGUGUGGGUUCGACUCCCAUCUCUCGCACCA